RNAcentral lists this unclassified non-coding RNA (165 nucleotides) under plant metagenome. Its description in RNAcentral is "partial contains small subunit ribosomal RNA, internal transcribed spacer 1, and 5.8S ribosomal RNA". The record is from RNAcentral.
UUUCCGUAGGUGAACCUGCGGAAGGAUCAUUAGAGAUGUGCGCAAGCACUUUUCCCUUCUUACACCUGUGCACCGUUUGGUCUUCGGACCUAUACAAUACCUGUAGUCACGAACGUAAUCUAUUAUAACAUAAUAAAACUUUUAACAACGGAUCUCUUGGCUCUC